This is a transfer RNA of Purpureocillium lilacinum, 92 nucleotides long. It matches the Rfam family "tRNA". Rfam says of the family: Transfer RNA (tRNA) molecules are approximately 80 nucleotides in length. Their secondary structure includes four short double-helical elements and three loops (D, anti-codon, and T loops). The record is from Rfam. NCBI's taxonomy places the organism in Eukaryota, Fungi, Ascomycota, Sordariomycetes, Hypocreales, Ophiocordycipitaceae.
GGGCGUGUGGUCUAGUGGUAUGGCGUCUGCUUCGCAUUGGAUUACCAACAUGCGUCUGCUGAAGGUCCGGGGUUCAAUUCCCCGCUCGUCCA